UCAGCCAGAAGAACUCUCUCAGACGGACACCACGUUAUUAAAGUCCAUCAUCCUUGCAUGCGCUACACACUCAAAAGCAUUGAUAAAUGCUGAAUUUAAAAGAAUCACUACUGUCUUAUGUUCCUGCGUGUCACCUGGACCUCCAAUCCAAAAACCUGACGAAACUCUUCUAUCAGAAAGGAGGACAGCUAGCAAAAAGACUUCAAACAAUGAAUGAUCAAAUGACAGAAGGCAUGGAUGAAGUCAGCAACAGUGUGGUCAUUUGAAGACACCACUGUUGGGAUUUGUGCUCUCAAACAACAUGUUUCUUGUGAUGAAGAAGAGGAUCUUUGUAUAGUCCUGGAAGGCAUGAAGGUGUUGCAACAUCGUGCCAUGUUGUUUGAGCUGAUGUAUGCCUUAAACCUGAGCUAUCCUGAUCUCUGCUUUAUUUUUGAAGAAAUCCAAAAUAUUUUAAUGGAACUGCAUUGAGCGUAACUUUAACGAACUGUUUCUUUCAGUGAAAGGAUCAGAAAGACUGUGCUGCUCAUUUAUGUUCUUUUUAUUUAUCUGUUUUAAGUGUUUUUUCUUAUUAAAACAUUAACCGUUUGCUGCUCAGAGUUGAUUUUGGAAAUGGUUGUUGUAUUUUGUUUUUUUUGAAUCUUUGAUUAUCAGUUUAUGCAAAUGCUUUAGCUCUGACUUUCUGAAGGAUUGAUAUAUUCCAGUUUGUAAAUCCAUUUAAAAAAUAAUAGUACUUACUGUUUUGCAUGUCUCUUUGGAAUGCAGUGUUUGUGUUUUAGCACUUCUAAAUCUACUGUGAUAGUAACUAUUUUAAACAUUUGGGUCAGUUUUACAGAUGGGGCUUUUUCUAGUCCCAGACUUUUGCAAUGCCUUAAUUUGAAAACAUAUUGCACUGACAUAUCUUGACAUAUAUCAGUGCCAUUGUUUUGUCUCAAGAUGUACUCCAGUGUUGUUUUUGUAAGGUAGGUUUGUUUGUAAACUUUUUUUUGUAAAAAAUAUCCUAAUAUAACUAGGGCCUAGUCAUGGCUUAAUCCACAACCUGUCUGGGAAAUUGCCCCUUUGUAUGUACUGCAUGUGCUGAUUGUUGUAAUAGUUAUUGACUGUUGUUGAAUUAAUGUGUAGUGAUUUAAAUGAAUUGAUGAUCUGAAAGCAGUGGUUUGCCUCAAUAUCACUAAACAUUUGUUCAAAACUCUUUGCUUUUUAUGCCAAUGCAAAUGUAUUUUGUAUUUAAAAAAUAAAUAAAUAACAUUUGGAUAAUUAUGGGUAAUUAUUCUGGUGCCAGAGACAUAAUGAAAUUGCUUUAGAGUUACAUAAUCCCAUAAUAUAAGCAUUAAAAAAGCAUGUUGGAAUUACAGAUGAAAAUCUAGUCCCCUUACAUAAUAAAAUUACUUAAACAUUACAAAAUAAAUGUGUUAUAGUAAAGAGAAAUAGCACUUUGAGUCAACAUAUUUAUAUUAGACCACUUAAAACAAUUAAAAUGUUUUGGUCUGACACAUAAAAAUUAAAUGAGGAAAAUUAUGUUGGUUUUACACAAUCGGAUUAUGUGGGACCGAUGUACA
This is a long non-coding RNA of Paramisgurnus dabryanus, 1556 nucleotides long. RefSeq lists it as uncharacterized. The record is from RefSeq and is a predicted model, not a curated record. NCBI's taxonomy places the organism in Eukaryota, Metazoa, Chordata, Actinopteri, Cypriniformes, Cobitidae.